UCUCUAUCUCUUCAACUUCCUCUCUCUCCCUAAAAAAACCUCUACCUUCAUCUCAUUUCUUCAUCCAUUCACAAACUAAAAUCUCUUCCUCUCUUAAACUCUCUCAUCUUCUCUCAUGGCACCCAAGAAGCCUUCCUACUUGAUCACCGAUGAAGUUUUCAACCUUACCUGCUGGGUUGGAGCCACAAGGUUGAAUGAGUCCCCUCCAUUGCUCUACAAACCACAAAAUCAUCUUUCAAACAAUGCACAGGCUAAAUUGGUUUACAGCCUUACUCGAUAUAGGUAGUGCUAGUCAUCUAUUCUCGUGGUACCAAACUCUAACGGUCAAGACAAAAGCCUUGGUGAAUACGGUUGGCUUCAGGCCACUCUUGUGUCUCCUUCUUAAGGGUGCAGCCAGCGGCAUACUGGUGCAAGCCCUCGUUGAGAGGUGGUGGGAUACUACCCACACUUUCCACAUUGUUGGGAGGGAGAUCACUAUGACUCCUCAUGACUUCCACUAGAUGACUGACUUGAGAUCCCAUGGGCCCAUUAUCAACUUGGAGGGUGAGUUAAGCAUUUUGCUGGGCAUAAACCUGCUAGGGCAUGCCUAACCUAGUGCACGUAUUCGCUACUUUGAUCGAAAGAGGGACUACAGGUUUCUUUCUCAGGCUACUCACGAUGAUUGUGCUUAGAUGGCCAGGGCAUUUCUGCAAUAUUUGCUAAAGGCAUUUCUCUUUGCCAAUGAGGGGCUAGACAGUGUCCCUGAGGUGGCUAGCUUUCUUCUGCGACUUUAAGCAAGCUUAAGAGGUGAACUAGGGUCAUGCUUGCCUAGCCUACCUCUACUCAGUCAUGGACACACUAAGCCAAGGGACUUUGUGGCAGCUAGCAAGGCCUUGGAAGCUCCUUAAGCAUUGGGCCUUAUCCUAUGGCCUCAUCUCCUAUGGCAUAGAUGUGAACUUGAAGGUCUUCCUUUUAGUCCGAGCUCAUCUCAACAGCCUUACCUCUAACUCGAUUGUUUGGGGACAUGCCACAAAUGCCUAUGGAUCCUCUCACAUUCAUGGUUGCCCUACUCUCGAAGUUUGACGUUGUGUACCAGCUGUGGAGGGGAGGCAUUGCCUAUGCUCAACGGCUCUUGGGUGACAUGGACUAUGAUAGGUUCAGUGAGGAUCGCCUCAUGUCUCCUUUUCCCAUUGGGGGUACAGCUGGUCUAGUUGCUAGUGGUCCUAUUGAUCCUCCUUGCCUACCUUGGUCGGUCUAUACCUAUGGCCUAGAUGGGUUUGCUUGGGAGCGUCUCGUGGGGCGUACCCUAAUGUCAUGGGUUCUCCUUUCCUUCAGGGCACACGAGCUCCCACUGUAGCAAAGCAUGAGAUGCUAGUCUGGCUUGCUGGGAACCUCAAGUUGAAGGUGACUGAGUAUUCCAACUAGAUCUAUGGGCGUGGUAGGUAUGCCUAAGUAGGUGACGACGACGAUGAUGACGACGACGAUGAUGAUCCAAAGGCAACCCCAAGCACUCAGCUAAGGAAGAGGCAUUAUCGGAGGCAUUGAGGAGCCGGUUAAAUCUCUACCAAGUUAUGUUCCAUAAGCAAUAGAGCCCUCUAUUAGUCUCACCAGAUCUUUGCUGGGUCAUCCGAGAAACUAAUGAGAGUCGAGAGUUUUGGACCAAUCCUUAGGGGAAAAAAAAAAAAAAAAAGGGAAAAAAAUCAUGUGAAAUCCAGCGUGUCAGAAGACAUGCACGUGACAGUGGAGCGAGAGAGUGUGGUAGGGGUGUUGCUUCCACGCGUGGAUUGUGUAGUGCAGGCACCUGCCAUGAGCCUAGCUCACACUACGUGCCAUUUUGGAAAAAUGUAUGGAGAGUAGUCCACCAAGUCACCCAAACAGUGUGAAAAUUCGACAAUUCAAAAAGAUAUCAAACAUGGAGAAGGAAAGAAACAAGGGGACUUAGGAAAGACUACUGUCCGUCUCUUUAGAAUCUUUUUGUGAUGGGCCAUUAUCCUUGGUUAUAAAUAAUAAGAUCGAUGUAGCUGCGAAGUUCAUAAUAAAACAUUAAUACUAGCUCCCUUCAAUACACUUCCUUAUUAGGUUUUAGAAUUGCACUUCUUUAUUAAGUUCAUACAGUUCCAAUGGUGAUAUUUAAUAGCAGCAAACCUGCUGGAUUUUCCAAGUUGGUCGUCAGCUAUGACCGCAGUGUGACCAGGGUCGCAACCUAUGAAGAAAAUGAUGGGGAUGACGAUGAUGACGAUGAUGAUGGAAAAAAUGUGGCGCCAGCAGCAUAGUUAUUUUCAUGAUGAGUUCUACUUUCUACUAGUAGUAGUAGUAGUCUUUUUGAUAUCAUGGAGGAGGGUUGAAGAAAAUAUUAGAAUCCUUCAAUAUGUUGCACCAACUACGUAGCAAUCAUGUGGAAUUGUACGUAGUUUUCUAUUUUUCUAUCAAUAAUGUAUGGUAGUAGUCAUGUCUGAGUUUUACUCAUAUAAUAAGGUUAUCAAUAUAUAUAGCUAGUGACCUGAAUGUUUACACUAGUAUCGAAUCAAUACAGUUAGACAUAUAUACCUAUCUAGUUUUAUCACGAUACUACUCUGUUUCUCUCUCAAACUAGCAUGCAAUUUGAAAUGUUUAUUAGACAGUCUUUUCUCUUUCCUCUCUCGUCUCUCCUCUCUCCAUCUCAGGUAUUUUGCGCUUGCAAUGCACUUACAAUACUGUACAUACCGAUUAAAAAAACAGGAAAGAUGACCCACAAAGAACUAGUUCUCAAAUUAUUGACUGAGGGGAAUGGUCAAAAUCAAGCUCCAAAAGCUUCUUGUGUGAGAUCCUAGACCCAUUGAUCGUAGCGUUUUGACAGAACAAGUGAAUCAUCGAUUUGAGUUACUUUGGAACCCUAGAGGCCAGGAUCCUCCUAGCACACUAAAUUGUUGAUGUUGCCAUGAAGAGUAGACACAUCGAGAUCCUAUGGUAGAUGAGCAUGUGAUUGCCAUAGUGAGGUUGCUUGGUUUAGAGCGUCUACACAUGGUCCCAUCCAUAAAGCUUGAUCAUGCAUUGAUCAUUGCAUUUGUAGAGCGAUGGCACCCAGAGACCCAUUCUUUCCACCUUCCACAUGAUGAGAUAACGAUCACAUUACAAGAUGUGGAAGUUAUAAUGGGGAUGCCCAUCGAGGGUGAGGCAAUGGUUGGAUUCACUAAAAGAACUUGGAAACCAUGUGCAAUGAAAUGCUUGGAAUUCAAAUUCCAAAUGAAAAUAAAACCAUACUAGAUGGUCAAAGGAUUCAAAUAAAAGUGCUCGUUGACUGAAUUGCACAACCGUUGCCUCCAGAUGCCAAUGAGUUAUAGGUUCAUUACUAUGCUCACUACUAUGUACUAGCCCUACUAGUGAGUUAUAGGUUCAUUAGUAUGCUCACUACUAUGUACUAGCCCCACUAAGGGAUAUGGUAUUUGUUGACAAGUCCGGAGAUAGGGUCCACCUCAUGUGGUUGGAGUUCAUGGAGAACCUUCAUAAUCCACCUAAGCAUAGUUGAGAUAGUGCAUCCCUAUCAUGGUUGUAUAGAUAAUUGUGAAAGGCAA
Molecule: long non-coding RNA, 3530 nt
Organism: Quercus lobata
Lineage: Eukaryota; Viridiplantae; Streptophyta; Magnoliopsida; Fagales; Fagaceae
Exons: 11
Source: RefSeq, a predicted model, not a curated record